UACAGAGGGUGCGAGCGUUAAUCGGAAUUACUGGGCGUAAAGCGCGCGUAGGCGGCUUUGCAAGUCGGGUGUGAAAUCCCCAGGCUUAACCUGGGAACUGCAUUCGAGACUGCAUUGCUAGAGUAUGGGAGAGGGAAGUGGAAUUUCCGGUGUAGCGGUGAAAUGCGUAGAUAUCGGAAGGAAGACCAGUGGCGAAGGCGGGUCUCUGGACAGUUCCUGACGCUGAGGCACGAAGGCCAGGGGAGCAAACGGG
This 253-nucleotide ribosomal RNA is filed under the name uncultured bacterium. Its description in RNAcentral is "partial 16S ribosomal RNA". It matches the Rfam family "Bacterial small subunit ribosomal RNA", at positions 524 to 776 of the family's 1533-position model. The record is from RNAcentral.